Molecule: long non-coding RNA, 280 nt
Filed under: Gossypium barbadense (sea-island cotton)
Lineage: Eukaryota; Viridiplantae; Streptophyta; Magnoliopsida; Malvales; Malvaceae
Description: long non-coding RNA (GBAR_LNC019988)
Source: RNAcentral
UUAGUUUAAUCUACUACAUCGAAUUACGACAAAUCACGGGACCAAAUUUUGACCAGUGAGUUAGUAAAUAUUAAUUAGUUAAUAUUUACGAGUCUAUUAGAGUGUCGUGUUAAAGUUUGGAUCUAUGAUUUUAAUGUUUGGUUGAUUAAUUAGGUAAAAAUGACUAAAUUGUAAAAGAUAAAUAAUUUAUCGCUAUUAAUUUAAAGGUGUUAAAUGACUAUAGAAGCAUGAUUUGGUGAUUUUAAAUGAUAAUUAGUCAUAUUUUAAAAUAGGUGGAUGA